RNAcentral lists this ribosomal RNA (450 nucleotides) under uncultured bacterium. RNAcentral's name for it is "bacterial SSU rRNA". It matches the Rfam family "Bacterial small subunit ribosomal RNA", at positions 354 to 796 of the family's 1533-position model. The record is from RNAcentral.
GUGGGGAAUAUUGGACAAUGGGCGAAAGCCUGAUCCAGCCAUGCCGCGUGUGUGAAGAAGGUCUUCGGAUUGUAAAGCACUUUAAGUUGGGAGGAAGGGCAGUAAGUUAAUACCUUGCUGUUUUGACGUUACCGACAGAAUAAGCACCGGCUAACUUCGUGCCAGCAGCCGCGGUAAUACGAAGGGUGCAAGCGUUAAUCGGAAUUACUGGGCGUAAAGCGCGCGUAGGUGGUUUUGUGAGUUGGAGGUGGCAUCACCGGGCUCAACCUGGGAACUGCCUCCAAAACUGCAUGACUAGAGUACGGUAGAGGGUAGUGGAAUUUCCUGUGUAGCGGUGAAAUGCGUAGAUAUAGGAAGGAACACCAGUGGCGAAGGCGACUACCUGGACUGAUACUGACACUGAGGUGCGAAAGCGUGGGGAGCAAACAGGAUUAGAAACCCCGGUAGUCC